This is a transfer RNA of 116 nucleotides. It matches the Rfam family "tRNA". Rfam says of the family: Transfer RNA (tRNA) molecules are approximately 80 nucleotides in length. Their secondary structure includes four short double-helical elements and three loops (D, anti-codon, and T loops). The record is from Rfam.
UCCCGAUUAGCUCAGUCGGUAGAGCGUCAGACUUUUAUACGUGAAAGUCUACGAGAAUGCACUCGUACGAUCUGUAUGUUAUCUGAAUGUCAGGGGUUCGAGCCCCCUAUUGGGAG